AUACGUAGGGGGCGAGCGUUGUCCGGAAUUACUGGGCGUAAAGGGCGUGUAGGCGGCCUGUUAAGUCAGGCGUGAAAACCCCGGGCUUAACCUGGGGACUGCGUUUGAAACUGGCGGGCUUGAGGGCAGGAGAGGAAAGUGGAAUUCCCGGUGUAGCGGUGAUAUGCGUAGAUACCGGGAGGAACACCAGUGGCGAAGGCGGCUUUCUGGACUGCACCUGACGCUGAGGCGCGAAAGCCAGGGGAGCGAACGGGAUUAGAUACCCCGGUAGUCCUGGCCGUAAACGAUGGGUACUAGGUGUGGGAGGUAUCGACUCCUUCCGUGCCGGAGUUAACACAAUAAGUACCCCGCCUGGGGAGUACGGCCGCAAGGCUGAA
This 377-nucleotide ribosomal RNA is filed under the name uncultured bacterium. RNAcentral describes it as "bacterial SSU rRNA". It matches the Rfam family "Bacterial small subunit ribosomal RNA", at positions 523 to 898 of the family's 1533-position model. The record is from RNAcentral.